This is a long non-coding RNA of Ornithodoros turicata, 1056 nucleotides long. RefSeq lists it as uncharacterized. The record is from RefSeq and is a predicted model, not a curated record. Lineage: Eukaryota; Metazoa; Arthropoda; Arachnida; Ixodida; Argasidae. The transcript has 4 exons.
ACGCAAGAUUUUUCGCAUGCAUUUCUACCAUUAGCAAAGCCUGCAUUUCCGUCAUUCUUUCAGUACAUUUUACGAGUUCUCUUAUGCUUUACAGAUUGAACGGGUCUUGUCAGCAUGUAGCAGGCUUGCUAUAAAGCUUUCAAGAACCAGCGCAGAUAACUGAAGUAUCCCGUACAGAUUUGCCAUGCAAGUGGGUUGUGCCACCAGCUGCGAAGCAGCCAGACCCUCCAACAACGAUAAAGAGGACGAAGUUCAGACCCGACACUGUAUGUAGGCGUGAAUCUGCAAGAAGCAGGUUUUGUCCUGGUAACCACCGGCCACCUGUACACCACUCUAAAUUUGUGGAAGCCAUGGAGAAGGUUCAUCCAGAGUCCCUUACUCUGAGGCACAACAGGGUCCAUGAAGAGGAUGCAGUCUGUGUGUCACCAGACUUAAGCCGCCCAAAGUCUGAUGAUUUCGCUUAUAAUGACUGGAGACAAGUUAUUGGCCGAUAUUUUGAAGAUCCGAAAUGCUGCGUGAUGGCGGCCACUAUCUUGGAUUCUGCGCUUGGAUCGGAUUAGAUUUUUGUCUCUUCUAGAAUUCGGCUCCGUUGAAGCACCAGAAGGUGCACCCGUUGAACACAUGACGAACAGAUGAACACAUGACUCUCACGCAAUGCAACCGGAUGUUAUCAAACCUAGCUGCUAAACAUCGGUCGGCUACUGUAUAUGCAAUGGUAACACUGCAUUGUGAGGAAUUGCUCUCCUACAACUAGCGCCACCUAGCCCAUUUUAUCCGCUGGAACUAUCAGAAUGCCACGCCUGAUGUUUUUGUCAUGUUCUUGUCGCGAUACUUGUCUCGCGCCGAGCGCAGACAUGUGUGUUUCGGCGUCGUUCCUGCACGCGGACGCGGAUUGUCAGUGUGCCUGCUUUGAACUUUCCCCGACAUGUGAUGUACCUGAGUGAGUCUUCGGACUUGCAUUUUCGUUACUUGUUCGCGGUAAGAGGCUGCUCGAAUAAACCUUCAAGUUCUAAGCUACGCCUUUACGCCCUCCCAUCAACGCCCAACAUCUUACAA